Molecule: transfer RNA, 71 nt
Filed under: Marmota monax (woodchuck)
Lineage: Eukaryota; Metazoa; Chordata; Mammalia; Rodentia; Sciuridae
Description: tRNA.Asp
Rfam family: tRNA
About the family: Transfer RNA (tRNA) molecules are approximately 80 nucleotides in length. Their secondary structure includes four short double-helical elements and three loops (D, anti-codon, and T loops).
Source: RNAcentral
GGGGUUGUGGCUCAGUGGUAGAGCACUCGCCUAUCAUGUGUGAGGGCCUGGGUUUGAUCCUCAGCACCACA